Molecule: ribosomal RNA, 433 nt
Filed under: uncultured bacterium
Lineage: Bacteria
Description: partial 16S ribosomal RNA
Rfam family: Bacterial small subunit ribosomal RNA
Source: RNAcentral
AACGAACGCUGGCGGCAUGCCUAACACAUGCAAGUCGAACGAGACCUUCGGGUCUAGUGGCGCACGGGUGCGUAACGCGUGGGAACCUGCCCUUAGGUUCGGAAUAACUCAGAGAAAUUUGAGCUAAUACCGGAUAAUGUCUUCGGACCAAAGAUUUAUCGCCCUUGGAUGGGCCCGCGUAGGAUUAGCUUGUUGGUGGGGUAAUGGCCUACCAAGGCGACGAUCCUUAGCUGGUCUGAGAGGAUGAUCAGCCACACUGGGACUGAGAAACGGCCCAGACUCCUACGGGAGGCAGGAGUGGGGAAUAUUGGAAAAUGGGCGAAAGCCUGAUCCAGCCAUGCCGGGUGAGUGAUGAAGGCCUUAGGGUUGUAAAGCUCUUUUACCAGGGAUGAUAAUGACAGUACCUGGAGAAUAAGCUCCGGCUAACUCCGUG